RNAcentral lists this ribosomal RNA (1036 nucleotides) under uncultured crenarchaeote. Its description in RNAcentral is "bacterial SSU rRNA". It matches the Rfam family "Archaeal small subunit ribosomal RNA", at positions 311 to 1353 of the family's 1478-position model. Lineage: Archaea; Thermoproteati; Thermoproteota. The record is from RNAcentral.
UGGCACGGGGGGACGGGGUGCAACAGGCGCGAAACCUUUACAAUGCACGCAAGUGCGAUAAGGGAAUCCUAAGUGCUUUGCUUUAGCAAGGCUUUUGCCAGGCGUAAAACCCUUGGCGAAUAAGUGGUGGGCAAGACUGGUGCCAGCCGCCGCGGUAACACCAGCGCCACAAGUGGGAACCGUUUUUAUUGGGUCUAAAGCGUCCGUAGCCGGUUUAGUUAGUCUCUUGUGAAAUCAUUGGGCUGAACCUAAUGGCGUGCUUGAGAUACUGCUAGACUAGGGACUUGGAGGAGUCAGAAGUAUUUCUGGGGGAGCGGUAAAAUGUUAUAAUCCCAGAAAGACUACCUGUGGCGAAAGCGUCUGACUAGAACAGAUCCGACGGUGAGGGACGAAAGCCAGGGGAGCAAUCCGGAUUAGAUACCCGAGUAGUCCUGGCCAUAAACGUUGCGAGCUAGGUGUUGCAUAUUCUUCGUGAAUGUGCAGUGUCGUAAUGAAGAUGUUAAGCUCGCCACCUGGGAAGUAUGGUCGCAAGACUGAAACUUAAAGGAAUUGGCGGGGGAGCACUACAAGGGGUGCGGCGUGCGGUUUAAUCUAACUCAACGCAGAGAAUCUCACCAGAAGCGACGGCAGGAUGAAGGUCAGUCUGAAGGGCUUACCCAACGAGCCGAGAGGUAGUGCAUGGCCGUCGUCAGCUCGUGCCGUAAGGUGUCCUGUUAAGUCAGGCAACGAGCGAGACCUGUACUCACAAUUGCUAACGAGCAGUUAUGUGAUCGAGCACAUUGUGGGGACUGCUCUCGAAAGGGAGAGGAAGGUGCAGGCUACGGUAGGUCUGUAUGCUCCGAAUCUUCUGGGCUACACGCGCGCAACAAUGGUAGUGACAAUAGGAUGCGACUCUGAAAAGAGAAGCUAAUCCCCGAAACACUAUCUUAGUUCAGAUUGUGGAUUGUAAUUCAUCCACAUGACGCUGGAAUCCCUAGUAAUCGGAAUUCAACAUAUUCCGGUGAAUAUGUCCCUGCUCCUUGCACGAAUUCGCCGA